UGGGGAAUAUUGCACAAUGGGCGCAAGCCUGAUGCAGCCAUGCCGCGUGUAUGAAGAAGGCCUUCGGGUUGUAAAGUACUUUCAGCGGGGAGGAAGGGAGUAAAGUUAAUACCUUUGCUCAUUGACGUUACCCGCAGAAGAAGCACCGGCUAACUCCGUGCCAGCAGCCGCGGUAAUACGGAGGGUGCAAGCGUUAAUCGGAAUUACUGGGCGUAAAGCGCACGCAGGCGGUUUGUUAAGUCAGAUGUGAAAUCCCCGGGCUCAACCUGGGAACUGCAUCUGAUACUGGCAAGCUUGAGUCUCGUAGAGGGGGGUAGAAUUCCAGGUGUAGCGGUGAAAUGCGUAGAGAUCUGGAGGAAUACCGGUGGCGAAGGCGGCCCCCUGGACGAAGACUGACGCUCAGGUGCCAAAGCGUGGGGAGCAAACAGG
This 429-nucleotide ribosomal RNA is filed under the name Chloroflexota bacterium. RNAcentral describes it as "Chloroflexi bacterium partial 16S ribosomal RNA". It matches the Rfam family "Bacterial small subunit ribosomal RNA", at positions 355 to 776 of the family's 1533-position model. The record is from RNAcentral. Lineage: Bacteria; Bacillati; Chloroflexota.